GUCCGAAGGCCAGCGCCGUGUGUCCGCUCCUCCCUCGCCUUUCCCAGGCAGUGAACCAGACAGCUGUCCCAGUGAUUUACCCUGGAAUCCUCUGCUUCUUUCUCUCCCAGUUCUCAGUCAGGCACAACAAGGGUUAAUAAAUUGCAGGGUGUGGAGAAGCAGGGCAGGAGGGAGUACCCUGCUCCUGUCACCCUGUGAGGGACAGGAAUGAUUCCUGAUUCCUGGGAUGAUCCUGGCUGGAAGUGCAGGAUUGUCAGGGGAAGCAGGAAAGUCCGGAAAAUCAACUGAGAAAAACCCGUUACCAGCAAGAUUUGCCAAAUAAGUGAGUGCAUCCAGUGGCCUGGAAAAUGAGCCGGCGAGUGAUAGAAGAGCCCUUUCCCAGUUCUGCACACUCAAGGAAACAUUUAAUACAUCUGGAAGGAAAAAUC
Molecule: long non-coding RNA, 428 nt
Organism: Cyanistes caeruleus (blue tit)
Lineage: Eukaryota; Metazoa; Chordata; Aves; Passeriformes; Paridae
Source: RefSeq, a predicted model, not a curated record